RNAcentral lists this unclassified non-coding RNA (268 nucleotides) under uncultured fungus. RNAcentral describes it as "sequence contains 5.8S rRNA gene". Lineage: Eukaryota; Fungi. The record is from RNAcentral.
GAACGCACAUUGCACCCGGUGGCAUUCCGCCGGGUAUGCCUGUUCGAGCGUCAUUUCUUCCCUCGAACCCAGUCGUCUUAGGACCCCUGGGCUCGGUGUUGGAGAUUGCGGGCCGUCCCGCAGCUCCUAAAGACAUCGGCGUACGUGCUGUACAGCCCCCUGCGUAGUGGUGUUUUCAUUCAGCGCAUCGGGCCGCAGCGUCGCACUGCCGUGAAGCCAAUUUUCUGAAAUUUGACCUCGGAUCAGGUAGGGUUACCCGCUGAACUUA